RNAcentral lists this ribosomal RNA (206 nucleotides) under uncultured bacterium. Its description in RNAcentral is "partial 16S ribosomal RNA". It matches the Rfam family "Bacterial small subunit ribosomal RNA", at positions 568 to 774 of the family's 1533-position model. The record is from RNAcentral.
CUCGUAGGCGGUUUGUCGCGUCUGCCGUGAAAGUCCGGGGCUCAACUCCGGAUCUGCGGUGGGUACGGGCAGACUAGAGUGAUGUAGGGGAGACUGGAAUUCCUGGUGUAGCGGUGAAAUGCGCAGAUAUCAGGAGGAACACCGAUGGCAAAGGCAGGUCUCUGGGCAUUAACUGACGCUGAGGAGCGAAAGCAUGGGAGCGAACA